UGGGGAAUAUUGCACAAUGGGGGAAACCCUGAUGCAGCGACGCCGCGUGGAGGAAGAAGGUCUUCGGAUUGUAAACUCCUGUUGUUGAGGAAGAUAAUGACGGUACUCAACAAGGAAGUGACGGCUAACUACGUGCCAGCAGCCGCGGUAAAACGUAGGUCACAAGCGUUGUCCGGAAUUACUGGGUGUAAAGGGAGCGCAGGCGGGAGAACAAGUUGGAAGUGAAAUCCAUGGGCUCAACCCAUGAACUGCUUUCAAAACUGUUUUUCUUGAGUAGUGCAGAGGUAGGCGGAAUUCCCGGUGUAGCGGUGAAAUGCGUAGAGAUCGGGAGGAACACCAGUGGCGAAGGCGGCCUACUGGGCUUUAACUGACGCUGAGGCACGAAAGCAUGGGUAGCAAACAGGAUUAGAUACCCUGGUAGUCCAUGCCGUAAACGAUGAUUACUAGGUGUGGGGGGACUGACCCCUUCCGUGCCGCAGUUAACACAAUAAGUAAUCCACCUGGGGAGUACGGCCGCAAGGUUGAAACUCAAAGGAAUUGACGGGGGCCCGCACAAGCAGUGGAGUAUGUGGUUUAAUUCGAAGCAACGCGAAGAACCUUACCAGGUCUUGACAUCCUGAGAAUCCUUAAGAGAUUAGGGAGUGCCUUCGGGAACUCAGAGACAGGUGGUGCAUGGUUGUCGUCAGCUCGUGUCGUGAGAUGUUGGGUUAAGUCCCGCAACGAGCGCAACCCUUGCUAUUAGUUGCUACGCAAGAGCACUCUAAUAGGACUGCCGUUGACAAAACGGAGGAAGGUGGGGACGACGUCAAAUCAUCAUGCCCCUUAUGACCUGGGCUACACACGUACUACAAUGGCCAUUAACAGAGGGAAGCAAAACCGCGAGGCAGAGCAAACCCCUAAAAAUGGUCCCAGUUCGGAUUGUAGGCUGCAACCCGCCUACAUGAAGUUGGAAUUGCUAGUAAUCGCGGAUCAGCAUGCCGCGGUGAAUACGUUCCC
RNAcentral lists this ribosomal RNA (996 nucleotides) under uncultured bacterium. Its description in RNAcentral is "bacterial SSU rRNA". It matches the Rfam family "Bacterial small subunit ribosomal RNA", at positions 355 to 1375 of the family's 1533-position model. The record is from RNAcentral.